This 81-nucleotide small RNA is filed under the name bovine gut metagenome. Its description in RNAcentral is "GA-cis RNA". It matches the Rfam family "GA-cis RNA". The record is from RNAcentral.
GGAGGGAGGCACUUCGGCGAAGCCGAAUUCAAUUGCGCCGACCGAUUUGCCGCCGAACGAAUGUGAGGGGGCGUUUCCAAA